This is a long non-coding RNA of Nicotiana tabacum (common tobacco), 835 nucleotides long. RefSeq lists it as uncharacterized. The record is from RefSeq and is a predicted model, not a curated record. NCBI's taxonomy places the organism in Eukaryota, Viridiplantae, Streptophyta, Magnoliopsida, Solanales, Solanaceae.
UUAAAAGUACCCCCAUUCGCAUAUACUCUGCCACUCUCUGCCUCUCUCCCAAUCCACCGUCGACGUCUCUGUUACCGGAAACUACGAGGAGAAGACCAAACCAUCAUCGGCGACACCGGCAGUGUUAGCGCCGGAAAAUCCCUUUAAGGCUAAUAUUAGUCUUGUUAAUCCUCUAGGGUUUCUCAAAAUGGUGUUCGAGUUCAUUGGCGGUGAAUCGAAGUUGUUCGUCUGGUGAAAGAUGAGCAAUAACCAUCGGCGGGCUCUUCAAUGGGUUUCCAAGUAGUAAUUGGCGUUCCCUCGUUAUUUUCUGCCUACACUACUUGGAGUACUACUUUGGCAUAUUUGUCGGUCUCUUCUACUUCACCACCCCCAACUACAAGGCUUCCCCCACUUCUAUUUUCUAGCUUUCCAUCACCCCCAUCUCAGGAAAAAUAUGACAUUCCUGACGGGAUGAAAACAUGGGCUUUUUGAAUCAAUUGGUACUGCUUGGAGAAAGUAUAAGAAUCAACUGAAGAAAAACCACUUUAAAGCCUAUGAGAAUGACGAGCUUCGAAUGGAGAAUAGGCCGAUAGAUGUUCCGGAGGCUCACUUUAAGGAUCUUAUUAAAUAUUGGAACUCCGAUUCCCACAAGGUGUUGUAGAUGAAGAAAUUUAGGACGGAGGCAGUGAAGAUCUAGACCUUACUCAAGAAGAAUUUUGAAUUGUUGUAGAUGCAUGGUCUAGCUAAGAAUGUUUGUUUUCAACAUUUCGAAACUUUCUUUAACUCUUAAAAUGUAUAACUUAUGUAUUCAGGGAAAAAUGGUUUACUUUAUGGAUAUUAUUAGGUCGUUGGACAA